RNAcentral lists this ribosomal RNA (254 nucleotides) under uncultured bacterium. RNAcentral describes it as "partial 16S ribosomal RNA". It matches the Rfam family "Bacterial small subunit ribosomal RNA", at positions 524 to 777 of the family's 1533-position model. The record is from RNAcentral.
UACAGAGGUCCCAAGCGUUGUUCGGAUUCAUUGGGCGUAAAGGGUGCGUAGGUGGCGCUGUAAGUCGGGUGUGAAAUUUCGGAGCUUAACUCCGAAACUGCAUUCGAUACUGCGGUGCUCGAGGACUGGAGAGGAGACUGGAAUUCAUGGUGUAGCAGUGAAAUGCGUAGAGAUCAUGAGGAAGACCAGUGGCGAAGGCGGGUCUCUGGACAGUUCCUGACACUGAGGCACGAAGGCCAGGGGAGCAAACGGGG